This 529-nucleotide ribosomal RNA is filed under the name uncultured bacterium. Its description in RNAcentral is "bacterial SSU rRNA". It matches the Rfam family "Bacterial small subunit ribosomal RNA", at positions 777 to 1304 of the family's 1533-position model. The record is from RNAcentral.
AAUAGAUACCCAGGUAGUCCACGCCGUAAACGAUGAGUGCUAAGUGUUAGAGGGUUUCCGCCCUUUAGUGCUGCAGCUAACGCAUUAAGCACUCCGCCUGGGGAGUACGGCCGCAAGGCUGAAACUCAAAGGAAUUGACGGGGGCCCGCACAAGCGGUGGAGCAUGUGGUUUAAUUCGAAGCAACGCGAAGAACCUUACCAGGUCUUGACAUCCUCUGCCAACCCUAGAGAUAGGGCGUUCCCCUUCGGGGGACAGAGUGACAGGUGGUGCAUGGUUGUCGUCAGCUCGUGUCGUGAGAUGUUGGGUUAAGUCCCGCAACGAGCGCAACCCUUGAUCUUAGUUGCCAGCAUUCAGUUGGGCACUCUAAGGUGACUGCCGGUGACAAACCGGAGGAAGGUGGGGAUGACGUCAAAUUAUCAUGCCCCUUAUGACCUGGGCUACACACGUGCUACAAUGGAUGGUACAAAGAGCUGCGAACCCGCGAGGGUAAGCCAAUCUCAUAAAGCCAUUCUCAGUUCGGAUUGUAGG